Long non-coding RNA from Rhipicephalus sanguineus (brown dog tick), 370 nucleotides. RefSeq lists it as uncharacterized. The record is from RefSeq and is a predicted model, not a curated record. Lineage: Eukaryota; Metazoa; Arthropoda; Arachnida; Ixodida; Ixodidae. The transcript is spliced from 4 exons.
UCCGUAUAAUUUCUGCGCUGAAAGGCUCACGGAUGUGGUAACAUCAGUAUAUAAGCAAUGCUUGCGUGGUCGACACGCACGGUACCCUCUGUACAAAAGGCCCCGAAUUAACAACUACAGACAUGCGGUACCUGGUUUUUGUCCUGGUGUUAUUUACAGCUGCCACCUAUUUUUGUACUGCGAGAACGUAUUGGAGAAUUCCCUGUGAGACGAGACCGUGUCCACCUGGCUACCGAUGCCGGUACAUUCGCUGCUUCACGUAUCCCUGCCCUCAGAGCUACUGCGAAAGGAUAAAAUUCUACUGGGACUAUGGGACGCAAUGGCCCAAUUUGAACUAAGGAGCAAAUAAAAUCAGAUAUUUCCAAUAUCU